Molecule: long non-coding RNA, 247 nt
Filed under: Mytilus galloprovincialis (Mediterranean mussel)
Lineage: Eukaryota; Metazoa; Mollusca; Bivalvia; Mytilida; Mytilidae
Source: RNAcentral
GGGCUGGACAUUUUUGGCGCCGUAUUCUCUACAUUGAUUGUCUAUUAUAAAAUGAUUGAAUGGACCCAAAGCUAUGUACUAUUUAAUAUAUUUGAAGUGGAAUUUGCCAGUAAAAAAUGGACAUGGGAAAUUCCCGUUUGUUGUAUUGUUAGUUAGCAUAACUUUACAGAUUUCUUGUUGUGAACAAGAUAUACGGCUAUUCAAUGAAAUUUACAAUACGACCGACACAAGGAAAAACAAACAAGAA